UGCAGGCUGCAACCCGCCUGCAUGAAGUUGGAAUCGCUAGUAAUCGCGGAUCAGCAUGCCGCGGUGAAUACGUUCCCGGGCCUUGUACACAUCGCCCGUCACACCAUGAGAGUCGGGAACACCCGAAGUCCGUAGCCUGACCGCAAGGGGGGCGCGGCCGAAGGUGGGUUCGAUAAUUGGGGUGAAGUCGUAACAAGGUAAC
RNAcentral lists this ribosomal RNA (202 nucleotides) under uncultured bacterium. RNAcentral's name for it is "partial 16S ribosomal RNA". It matches the Rfam family "Bacterial small subunit ribosomal RNA", at positions 1299 to 1500 of the family's 1533-position model. The record is from RNAcentral.